GUGUGGAGCAGAGGGAGAGGAAGAGAGGAACUCAAGCAGACACUGCGCUGAACAUAGAGCCUGAUGUGAUCCCACAACCCUGAGAUCACAACCUGAGCUGAAGCCAAGCAUUGGACGCCCAACUGACUGCACCACCCAGGUGCUCC
Molecule: long non-coding RNA, 146 nt
Organism: Mustela erminea (ermine)
Lineage: Eukaryota; Metazoa; Chordata; Mammalia; Carnivora; Mustelidae
Exons: 3
Source: RefSeq, a predicted model, not a curated record